AUUUAUCUAUUUAUUUAUUUUUUCUUCUUCCUCCUCUUCUUUUUUUUUUCUUCUUAUUUUCAUUACCUUCAUUCUGUCUGUGCUUUGAGGAGGAGGAGGAGGAGGAGGAGGAGGAGGAGGAGGAGGAGGAGGAGGAGGA
This is a long non-coding RNA of Scylla paramamosain (green mud crab), 139 nucleotides long. RefSeq lists it as uncharacterized. The record is from RefSeq and is a predicted model, not a curated record. NCBI's taxonomy places the organism in Eukaryota, Metazoa, Arthropoda, Malacostraca, Decapoda, Portunidae. The transcript is spliced from 2 exons.